Molecule: long non-coding RNA, 508 nt
Organism: Vitis riparia (riverbank grape)
Lineage: Eukaryota; Viridiplantae; Streptophyta; Magnoliopsida; Vitales; Vitaceae
Exons: 2
Source: RefSeq, a predicted model, not a curated record
CUCCCGCUCACCUGGUGAAUGGGUUUGAAGAGGGGUGAUUUGCUGUGGCAUAAGUUGAGAUGGUAUGGAAGAGGGGUGGCCGAGCUCAAGGUUGGGAGGUUGGAACAGUCUCUUCUCCGAGGAUGGGAGGUGCUAAUCUGUGCAGAGUUGGAGCUCUAUUCAGCAAUAAUUUCAUGGGUGGGUGCUGCUGCUUACCAGAGAACCUAGUAAGAAGGAUCGCCUUCUUCAAACUCCGUGUUAAGCAUUAAGCGAGAGCCAGACAUGAUUCAGAAGAGUUCUGGAAGUUCAAGGGCUUGGAUUCAAGUGCGAGGAUUGGUUUGGAUCAACUGGUGUUGACGUUGCUUGAGUUCCAGGUGGAACUUUUUUCCAAUACUUAUUUUUCAGGGAAAAUGAGGCCAAUCCAAGAAUGACAUUAAAUUACCCAAUUUUAGCAUUAGAAAACCUUUGAAAUCUUAUGGUUUGGAAAUGGGUACAACUUGAAAUAUGAUCUUCUAUGCAGUUGCUUUUA